UUUUACGAAGUUAAUUAUUAUAUUUUUGAGAAAUAUAUAGAGGGUAAUGAGGUAAAUCUACUCUUGGAAUUGAUCCUUCCUUAAGAACACUCUAGAAAGAUGAAAACACAGAGACAAAAGAGGCUCCAUGAUGAAGGAAUAUAUAUGUCGUCUAAGCACUCAUAUCAAAAUUAUAAAAUUAAUAAAAAACGGUGGGUCGUCUGCUUCUCAAUACCACCAAUGGCUGAAUUAAUUUAUUAUUUAAUUAAACACAAGAUUAACAACGCAAUCAAGCAUCACAGGUACAUAAUUUAAAAAAACAAUUAGGUGUUGCUAUAGGAACUGUACACGUGUCCCAUGCUUUUACAUUUCUUGGUCGGCCAUGUGGGGGUCCCAUGGAGACCAUGGUGACCUAUAUCAAAGCCAAAGAGGGGUGAUUAUAAAAAGAGUUGGACGGUUGGAGAUAAGUUAACUAGGUGGAUGAUGUAGUGGCUGACUAAUUAACCUCCAUUACCCGCAAAAGCGGUCGCCUUCUUGCCUGUUGAAAUACUAAGAAUUGAUGCCUACGUGAACUGGGGGGAAGAAUUCGUGUCAAGCUUUGUUUAUAUAUGUGAUUUAAUCAUACAAUAACGAAUUUUCUAUGACUAAAAAAAAAAAAAAAUUCAAUCAUUUAACAACGUAGACCAAUCAAUUCAUAAUGGCUUGUUCUCAUCCAAAUUGUAGGAACCAACUCAACUUCUAGUUCAUUAGAAAAUAUAUAUAUAUACACACAUGAAAAAAAAACCCCUAGCAGUGAGAGAGAGAGAGAGGGUUUUCCUCCAAAUUGGGGGUGUUUGUUCUUCUUUUUGUUGCUGAUGUUUUAGAUUUUUAGUCUUGAUCAUUUUUUGUCAAUAAAGUCCAGAAAUUCUAUUAGUUUUUUGUGUUUUGUUAUCUCAUAAUUCUAGGAACUUAGUUGAGUUUGUUGGGUGUUUUUAGCCUCUUUAAGAGAGUUAUGCUGGUUAGCCACCAAUUUUGUCCUUGAUGUUAUUAGACUAUAUCAGGGGAAAGGUAGAUAGGAG
Molecule: long non-coding RNA, 1037 nt
Filed under: Prunus persica (peach)
Lineage: Eukaryota; Viridiplantae; Streptophyta; Magnoliopsida; Rosales; Rosaceae
Description: long non-coding RNA (PPER_LNC007762)
Source: RNAcentral